UACGUAGGGUCCAAGCGUUAUCCGGAAUCACUGGGCGUAAAGCGUGCGUAGGUGGCGCGUUAAGUGUGAUGUUAAAUCGCGGGGCUCAACCCUGUCGAUGCAUCGCAUACUGGCGUGCUAGAGGGAAGCAGAGGCAAGUGGAAUUGGUAGUGUAGCAGUGAAAUGCGUAGAUAUUACCAGGAACACCAAUGGCGAAGGCAGCUUGCUGGGCUUCUUCUGACACUGGGGUACGAAAGCGUGGGGAGCGAACAGG
This 253-nucleotide ribosomal RNA is filed under the name uncultured bacterium. RNAcentral describes it as "partial 16S ribosomal RNA". It matches the Rfam family "Bacterial small subunit ribosomal RNA", at positions 524 to 776 of the family's 1533-position model. The record is from RNAcentral.